CGGUUAAAACAUAGAAAUCCCGAAAUCCAGCAGCUCCGCCCGCUGUGCUUUGGGGUCUCUCUCUCCUCCUCGUCCGGGCUCCACAUCCAUCUCUGUGCGAGUCUCGCCGAUUCGUCUCUCUUUCCUAACAUUGCCCUUUUCAAUACACAUCUCUCCCUUCUUUUCUCCCUUUUCUCCCUUCUCGGCGCCAUCCCGCGCUUCACCACCUGGAUUCACACUCCACCUCUCAACGUUCAGCGGAUCGAUGCCCACAUCUCUUAAUUUCAUCAUCCACGAUCUCCUAACCCAGGACCUUAACGCAUAAGUGCUCAUGAUUCGCAACUAUGCAUCCUCACGCUGUAGUGUUUUGAAUAUGCAAGUCAAACCGGGUAAUACAUUUGUUCCGAUCUAGGUUUUUCUUUGGGUACUGAAAUGAUGGGUUCCGAGAGUCCGAAUGGUUCUUCGACGCCGCUUUCUCCUCAGCAAGCCAAAAAGUAUGGGAUCACAAAACCCAUCUCUCUGGCCGGUCCUAACGAGGCUGAUUUCCAUCGGAACAUGGAACUGGAGAGGUUUUUGGUUGAUUCCGGGCUUUACGAGAGCAAAGAAGAAGCUGCAAAGAGAGAAGAGGUACUUGGUCGCCUUGAUCAGAUUGUAAAAUGUUGGGUGAAGCAGUUGACUCGCCAACGAGGGUACACAGAUCAGAUGGUAGAGGAUGCAAAUGCCGUCAUAUUCACAUUUGGUUCUUAUCGUCUAGGGGUGCAUGGACCUGGGGCUGACAUAGAUACUCUGUGUAUUGGUCCUUCAUAUGUGAAUCGAGAGGAAGACUUCUUUGUCAUACUGCAUAACAUCCUCGCUGAAAUGGAGGAAGUUACUGAACUUCAACCAGUUUCUGAUGCUCAUGUUCCAGUAAUGAAGUUCAAGUUUCUUGGAAUAUCAAUAGAUUUACUUUAUGCGAGUGUAUCCCUUUUGGUUGUCCCAGAAGACCUGGAUAUCUCAAAUGGGUCUGUGCUAUAUGAUGUUGAUGAACCAACUGUUCGAAGUCUUAAUGGCUGCCGAGUGGCAGAUCAAAUUCUUAAACUCGUUCCAAAUGUCGAGCACUUCCGAACUACUCUGAGAUGUUUAAAGUUUUGGGCAAAAAGGCGUGGUGUUUACUCAAAUGUUACUGGAUUCCUUGGUGGUGUAAAUUGGGCUCUUUUAGUUGCUCGUGUUUGCCAGCUUUAUCCUCAUGCAAAUCCUAGUAUGUUAGUUUCUCGAUUCUUCAGGGUUUAUACACAGUGGCGGUGGCCAAACCCUGUAAUGUUGUGUUCUAUAGAAGAGAAUGAACUGGGUUUCCCUGUAUGGGAUCCUCGUAGAAACCCGCGGGAUAGAUUUCAUCUUAUGCCAAUAAUCACUCCCGCAUAUCCAUGCAUGAAUUCUAGCUACAAUGUCUCAGCAAGUACUCUGCGUGUUAUGGUAGAACAGUUUCACUAUGGCAACAGGAUCUGUGAGGAAAUUGAGCUCAGCAAAGCCCACUGGAGUUCUCUUUUUGAGCCAUAUCUCUUUUUUGAGGCAUAUAAAAACUAUCUGCAAGUGGACAUAAUAGCAGCAGAUGCUGAUGAUUUACUGGCAUGGAAGGGCUGGGUAGAAUCUAGGUGGAGACAACUUACCCUAAAGAUAGAGCGGGACACAAAUGGGAUGUUGCAGUGUCAUCCAUACCCCCACGAGUACUCAGACACUUCCAAGCCUUGCCCACAUUCUGCAUUUUUCAUGGGUUUGCAAAGGAAAGCAGGAGUUAGAGGUCAAGAAGGCCAGCAGUUUGACAUACGUAAAACAGUAGAUGAAUUUAGACAAGAGAUAAACAUGUAUGUAUAUUGGAAACCAGGGAUGGAAAUUUAUGUUUCUCAUGUUCGUCGAAAGCAGCUCCCUCCAUUUGUUUUUCCAGAUGGUUAUAAACGGACUAGAAUGCCAAGGCAUCUGAUCCAUCCUUCUGAAAACAUGAAUGAAAAUACUACGAAGUGCUACUCUGGAUCUACUGAAAGAGGCAACAAAAGGAAAAGUGAUCCUGAAAUGGUGAAUUUGAAGACAAGCCAACCAGAAAAGCGAUCAUCUAUGAGCCCACAAAGGCUAGAUUCUUUUUCUCCUGAAGGUAGUAUUAGUAGAUCAGGUGGUACCUCUCAUAUGAGUAUUGAAUGUAUUGAUAGGUUAGAAGAUUCAACAAGCAAGGAUGCUGAUAGCAAUUGUAGAAUUAAAACAUCUGUUGGGCUCCUGGGAGGUGGAAUAGGCACUGUAGGACCUGAAAUACAGAUUAGUGAAACAGAUGCUUGCACACUUGAUGAGCAGAAAUCAAGAGGUCUGGGAGUUCAAAAUGAGAAUGGAGUUGAUGGGAACAAAGUUCGGGAUUGCUUGGAAAGUGAUGAAACUGCAUCUAUAAAAUGCUUGCUGAGUUCUGAACGGAGUGUUGUUAGUACAGACCAACAAGUAGUCAAAGCUUGUAAUUUGGCAAGAGCUGAACAUGCGGACUACGCACCAAGUGCCAGCAACCGGAACUUCAACUGUGAGUGAGGGCCACGGAUCUUUGCAGGGUGAUGUCUGUGUGGCAGAUCCUAAUUCUGUUUUGAAGAGUGGAUGUUUUGAUGGGAAUAGAGUAUUUCAAAAUAGCAAGGCUGAAGAAUUGAAGCCUGAUGCCAGACUUGGAAGUGUUGUAUGAACACAAGAUGGGCUAGGUCGGAAUCUUCACAGAAGCUUAGUGACAAGGCAUGCGUGUAAACUCUUGCAAUGUGACCAAGUUAUAUCUUUAUUCUUUCAUGUUGGGUGGUCGCUUUUUGUAGGAGUCAGAAUGGAACACAGCAUGAGCGUUGGGAGGUGAUUUACUGAAAUCUCUGGUCCCGUUCCUUCCACCUUAUGCUGUAUUGGGGGUUUGACGUCCUGAGAUGGAGUGAGGGCGAGGUUGUAUUUAAAGCGUUGAGGAGCAAAUGCAGUUGAAAAUGCUGAAAUUAGUCUGGCUUUUUGGGAACAGAUCUGCAACUGUCGUUUGUACAUAGAUGAAGCGUAAUGGAGAUUGCUCGAAAUUGUGGGUUUCAUUCAAUCCUGUUUUCUGUGAAUCUAGGUCUCAUCUGAAGAGCUUUGAUUGUUGUCUCAUGCGACCUAAAUAUUUACGUUAUUUAACUUGUAAGAUAAGUUGAACUUAUGAUGUGGCGGAUGCAUGACGUAAAUGUAAUCAAUAGUUGAUUGGGCUGGACGAUUUAGAAGGGAAAAGCAUGGCGGCUGAUGAGUGAGUGGGUCUUUCAUUACCAUGCCUACCCUUCGAAGUUUAGACUCUGACCGGGAUCAUUAUUGCCUAUUGUCUCUUCUUUCAAUGUCGGUGAAAAACUGUAGUAAAUUAUCGUCUUUGGCGACGGAGCACGGUUUCCGUGUGAUUUGGUGGUUUAAAGAGCUCAGGUUUUCUUGCGGGUUGGAGAUUCAGUAGAGGGUGGGUGGAAAGCGAGACAAGAAAAUCAGGGAAGCACCGCGUUUUUUCUGGGCCACGACGUAAACGCCGUCUCUGUAUCCGAAGCCUCAUGAAUUCAUGAUAGUGCUGUGAUCCGGUUGACUUGUAGUUCUAUAUUAAAUUAUAAAAUAAUUUAAGACACA
RNA transcript from Prosopis cineraria, 3588 nucleotides. It is a transcript of the gene named nuclear poly(A) polymerase 4-like, with no coding region annotated. NCBI's taxonomy places the organism in Eukaryota, Viridiplantae, Streptophyta, Magnoliopsida, Fabales, Fabaceae. The record is from RefSeq and is a predicted model, not a curated record. The transcript is spliced from 13 exons.